GCCACAUUGGGACUGAGACACGGCCCAAACUCCUACGGGAGGCAGCAGUAAGGAAUUUUUGGCAAUGGAGGAAACUCUGACCGAGCGACGCCGCGUGAACAAUGAAGUACUUCGGUAUGUAAAGUUCUUUUAUUGAAAAAGAAAAAAUAGUGGAAAAACUAUCUUGACAUUAUUCAAUGAAUAAGCCCCGGCUAAUUAUGUGCCAGCAGCCGCGGUAAUACAUAAGGGGCGAGCGUUAUCCGGAAUUAUUGGGCGUAAAGGGUGCGUAGGCGGUUUGAUAAGUCUAUAGUUUAAAUGCAGUGCUUAACGCUGUAGCGCUAUAGAAACUGUCUGACUAGAGUUAGAUAGAGGCAAGCGGAAUUCCAUGUGUAGCGGUAAAAUGCGUAAAUAUAUGGAGGAACACCAGAGGCGUAGGCGGCUUGCUGGGUCUUAACUGACGCUGAGGCACGAAAGCGUGGGGAGCAAACAGGAUUAGAUACCCUGGUAGUCCACGCCGUAAACGAUGAGUACUAAGUGUCGGGUUUCGACUCGGUACUGAAGUUAACACAUUAAGUACUCCGCCUGAGUAGUACGUACGCAAGUAUGAAACUUAAAGGAAUUGACGGGACCCCGCACAAGCGGUGGAUCAUGUUGUUUAAUUCGAAGAUACACGAAAAACCUUACCAGGUCUUGACAUAAUUUUGCGACAUUAUAGAAAUAUAAUGAAGGUUAUCAGAAUUACAGGUGGUGCAUGGUUGUCGUCAGCUCGUGUCGUGAGAUGUUAGGUUAAGUCCUAAAACGAGCGCAACCCUUGUCGUUAGUUGCGACCACGUAAUGGUGAGCACUUUAGCGAGACUGCCAAUGAAAAAUUGGAGGAAGGUGAGGAUUACGUCAAAUCAUCAUGCCCCUUAUGAUCUGGGCUACAAA
This 906-nucleotide ribosomal RNA is filed under the name Lethal wilt oil palm phytoplasma. RNAcentral's name for it is "bacterial SSU rRNA". It matches the Rfam family "Bacterial small subunit ribosomal RNA", at positions 307 to 1220 of the family's 1533-position model. Lineage: Bacteria; Bacillati; Mycoplasmatota; Mollicutes; Acholeplasmatales; Acholeplasmataceae. The record is from RNAcentral.